GAGGCGUCCGGACUGGCCCAGAGGGGUGGGCAACCACCCUUCAGGGCCGGAAAGCUCUCCAAACUCGGUCAUUUAGAGGAAGUAAAAGUCGUAACAAGGUCUCCGUUGGUGAACCAGCGGAGGGAUCAUUA
This 131-nucleotide ribosomal RNA is filed under the name Escovopsis weberi. Its description in RNAcentral is "partial 18S ribosomal RNA". It matches the Rfam family "Eukaryotic small subunit ribosomal RNA", at positions 1703 to 1831 of the family's 1831-position model. Lineage: Eukaryota; Fungi; Ascomycota; Sordariomycetes; Hypocreales; Hypocreaceae. The record is from RNAcentral.